AAGGCACUGAUUUCUGAAG
RNAcentral lists this microRNA (19 nucleotides) under Monodelphis domestica (gray short-tailed opossum). RNAcentral's name for it is "mdo-miR-7314-3p". Lineage: Eukaryota; Metazoa; Chordata; Mammalia; Didelphimorphia; Didelphidae. The record is from miRBase by way of RNAcentral.